CUCGUAUGUAUGUGGAAUUUCAUUUUUUGCAUCAAUUUUUAAUGAGCCAAGAUUUGGGAGGUUAUUAACAUAUGAUGUAAAUGGUAUAUAUUUUGUUUUUUCUAUAUUUAAGCUUUUUGUUUUAAAUUAUUCCAUGUAUUUGCAUCAUAGAAAAUAGCUGUGUCAUCUGCAAAACUUAUGAUUUUACCUGUUACAUUCAGUCUGAAUAGAUCAUUGAUAUAAAUAUUGAAGAGAAUUGGUCCCAAGACUGUUCCCUGUGGUAUUCCGUAAGAUAUAAUUCUUCCUUUACUGAUUUUUCCAUCUAUAGAAACAUGUUGUUGUCUAUUUAGCAGAUAACUUUCUAGGAUGUGUGACGCCUCACGACCCGGCCUAAUUAUUCUCGAUGCUUCCCGGGCUUACGAGUAAAGGCCAGACCUUCCACGGCGAUUCGAGGCGACCGCUGUCAGAGUAUUUAAGAACAAGAAUUCGAGCACAGGCCAGUCAGUCAAUGAACGAGCCGCGACGCGUGAUAUAAUUAUUGUAUUCGAGUCGGAUUUAAUGAAAUGUAUAUAUUAGUUAUCGAAGUUAUUAUGUUUAGUUAAUUAAAUCAUAAAUUUGAGUUGUAAAUAAAUUAGAUGUGUUAGUUGGUGUUAUUUGUAAUUAUUAAAAUAAAUAAGUGAUGUAAAUAAAAUAAUAUAAGUAA
Molecule: long non-coding RNA, 682 nt
Organism: Diabrotica virgifera virgifera (western corn rootworm)
Lineage: Eukaryota; Metazoa; Arthropoda; Insecta; Coleoptera; Chrysomelidae
Exons: 2
Source: RefSeq, a predicted model, not a curated record